AGCAGCCGCGGUAAUUCCAGCUCCAAUAGCGUAUAUUAAAGUUGUUGCAGUUAAAAAGCUCGUAGUUGAAUUUCGGGAUCAAUAUGUUGGUCGUGCCUUGGUACGUACUAAUUUAUUGGUUUCUUCCUUCUGACGAACCAUGAUGUCAUUAAUUUGGUGUCUUGGGGAAUCAGGACUAUUACUUUGAAAAAAUUAGAGUGUUUAAAGCAGGCUCACGCUUGAAUACAUUAGCAUGGAAUAAUGAAAUAGGACGUUUGAUUCUAUUUUGUUGGUUUCUAGGAUCGACGUAAUGAUUAAUAGGGAUAGUUGGG
Molecule: ribosomal RNA, 311 nt
Filed under: uncultured Glomus
Lineage: Eukaryota; Fungi; Glomeromycota; Glomeromycetes; Glomerales; Glomeraceae
Description: SSU rRNA
Rfam family: Eukaryotic small subunit ribosomal RNA
Source: RNAcentral